Molecule: ribosomal RNA, 508 nt
Filed under: uncultured Pseudomonadota bacterium
Lineage: Bacteria; Pseudomonadati; Pseudomonadota
Description: bacterial SSU rRNA
Rfam family: Bacterial small subunit ribosomal RNA
Source: RNAcentral
UAGGGAAUAUUGCGCAAUGGGGGAAACCCUGACGCAGCGACGCCGCGUGAGUGAUGAAGGACUUAGGUUUGUAAAGCUCUGUUCUCAGGGAAUAAAAAAAUGAAGGUACCUGAGAAGAAAGGAUCGGCUAACUUCGUGCCAGCAGCCGCGGUAAGACGAGGGAUCCAAGCGUUGUUCGGAAUCAUUGGGCGUAAAGCGGGUGUAGGUGGCUUGUUAAGUCAGGAGUGAAAGCCCCAGGCUCAACCUGGGAAGUGCUUUUGAAACUAGCGAGCUUGAGUGUGGGAGAGGAUAGUAGAAUUCCUGGUGUAGUGGUGAAAUACGUAGAUAUCAGGAGGAAUUCCAGUGGGGGAAGCCGGCUAUCUGGCCCCAACACUGACACUCAGACCCGAAAGCGUGGGGAGUCAAACAGGAUUAGAUACCCUGGUAGUCCACGCCAUAACGAUGGACACUUGGUGUUGGAGGUAUUGACCCCUUCAGUGCCGGAGCUAACGCGUUAAGUGUCCCGCCU